GACGAACGCUGGCGGCGUGCCUAAUACAUGCAAGUAGAACGCACAGUUUAUACCGUAGCUUGCUACACCAUAGACUGUGAGUUGCGAACGGGUGAGUAACGCGUAGGUAACCUGCCUGGUAGCGGGGGAUAACUAUUGGAAACGAUAGCUAAUACCGCAUAAUAUUAAUUAUUGCAUGAUAAUUAAUUGAACGGUGCAAUUGCACCACUACCAGAUGGACCUGCGUUGUAUUAGCUAGUAGGUGAGGUAACGGCUCACCUAGGCGACGAUACAUAGCCGACCUGAGAGGGUGAUCGGCCACACUGAGACUGAGACACGGCCCAGACUCCUACGGGAGGCAGCAGUAGGGAAUCUUCGGCAAUGGACGAAAGUCUGACCGAGCAACGCCGCGUGAGUGAAGAAGGUUGUCGGAUCGUAAAGCUCUGUUGUAAGGGAAGAACGGGUGUGAGAGUGGAAAGUUCACACUGUGACGGUAUCUUACCAGAAAGGGACGGCUAACUACGUG
RNAcentral lists this ribosomal RNA (505 nucleotides) under uncultured bacterium. RNAcentral describes it as "partial 16S ribosomal RNA". It matches the Rfam family "Bacterial small subunit ribosomal RNA", at positions 28 to 507 of the family's 1533-position model. The record is from RNAcentral.